Molecule: ribosomal RNA, 627 nt
Filed under: uncultured cyanobacterium
Lineage: Bacteria; Bacillati; Cyanobacteriota
Description: SSU rRNA
Rfam family: Bacterial small subunit ribosomal RNA
Source: RNAcentral
GUAACGCGUGAGAAUCUGCCUUCAGGUUCGGGACAACAGCUGGAAACGGCUGCUAAUACCGGAUGUGCCGAGAGGUGAAAGCUUAAGUGCCUGGAGAUGAGCUCGCGUCUGAUUAGCUAGUAGGAGUGGUAACGGCACCCCUAGGCGACGAUCAGUAGCUGGUCUGAGAGGAUGAUCAGCCACACUGGGACUGAGACACGGCCCAGACUCCUACGGGAGGCAGCAGUGGGGAAUUUUCCGCAAUGGGCGCAAGCCUGACGGAGCAAGACCGCGUGAGGGAAGAAGGUCUGUGGAUUGUAAACCUCUUUUGAUAGGGAAGAAGACAGUGACGGUACCUAUCGAAUCAGCCUCGGCUAACUCCGUGCCAGCAGCCGCGGUAAUACGGAGGAGGCAAGCGUUAUCCGGAAUUAUUGGGCGUAAAGAGUCCGUAGGUGGGUAACCAAGUCAGCUGUUAAAUAGUGAAGCUUAACUUCAUAGAGGCGGCUGAAACUGGUUGUCUAGAGUGUGGUAGGGGUAGAGGGAAUUUCCAGUGUAGCGGUGAAAUGCGUAGAUAUUGGAAAGAACACCGGUGGCGAAAGCGCUCUACUGGGCCUGCACUGACACUGAGGGACGAAAGCUAGGGGAGCC